This 322-nucleotide ribosomal RNA is filed under the name Salmonella enterica subsp. enterica serovar Heidelberg. Its description in RNAcentral is "partial 23S ribosomal RNA". It matches the Rfam family "Bacterial large subunit ribosomal RNA", at positions 199 to 559 of the family's 2925-position model. RNAcentral also lists the same sequence under 2 other names. Lineage: Bacteria; Pseudomonadati; Pseudomonadota; Gammaproteobacteria; Enterobacterales; Enterobacteriaceae. The record is from RNAcentral.
CAUCUAAGUACCCCGAGGAAAAGAAAUCAACCGAGAUUCCCCCAGUAGCGGCGAGCGAACGGGGAGGAGCCCAGAGCCUGAAUCAGCAUGUGUGUUAGUGGAAGCGUCUGGAAAGGCGCGCGAUACAGGGUGACAGCCCCGUACACAAAAGCGCAUGUGCUGUGAGCUCGAUGAGUAGGGCGGGACACGUGGUAUCCUGUCUGAAUAUGGGGGGACCAUCCUCCAAGGCUAAAUACUCCUGACUGACCGAUAGUGAACCAGUACCGUGAGGGAAAGGCGAAAAGAACCCCGGCGAGGGGAGUGAAAAAGAACCUGAAACCGU